UUUAUCGUAUCACUAUACGUGGAGAGUCGAUACGAAACGGAGUAUCGUAUUUUGCGAAUAAUCGCGUAACACGUGGAGUUGAUCGUUGGCCAAGAUAUUUCAAUCGAUAAUUAAAGUCAAAUAAAACACCCGGUAUGCAAAAAAUAGCACACACGUGCAACCAUUCGUAGUUGUGUACACUCAGAAAUGGGAUGGUACCGCUUUGUUCCUCGCGCUGACCUUCGUUCUAUUAAAGUAUAAAUUGCUUUAAAGCACAGCGUGGAUCGAAAUGGGCUGCUUUUUGGAGAAAAAAGACACCGAAGCGAGAGAAAAAACUAAAGAGAGGGUGGCACUAAGGAGAGGGAGAGAGAGAGAAAGAGAAUGGUAUCCCAAGCUCCACGAGAAAUUGUCGUUUUACGACGUUUCCAUAAAUAUCAGGAAGGAUCGUGGAGAAUAAACACAUCCACUCGACGGUGUGACACCAUUUAUUACCCCUGGUACAGGCAAAGCCCAAACGACUUUCAUCCCGCUUUCGAAGCUUUCUCCGAAGCACCCCGGUGUGACGGGGGCCGAAAAAGUGUCUCCGUGUUGCUUUUCUCCUGUUCUAUACACGACCCGAUUUUUACGUAACUGGCGCCAUUCCUCGUCAAUCCACGAUACGCCGGCCUUCGACCUUUGACGCUUGUUGCGCAGAUUUAAAUAUAGGGUAUCCCGUAAUCGAUGGUAAAUCGAGAUAAUGCGAAUUUAGGGGUGAAAGAGAAAGAUGAAGACAAAAAUCUUUUUGUAAUCUCUUUGAUUUUUGACAUUUAAUGCUUGUUGCAACGAUAUUCAUCGUGAUGAUUUAGAAAAAAAUGUGAAAUUAUUUCAUACAAUUUUCUAUAAUUUGUUGAUUAUUUUAUGAAAAAUCAAUUGAGAUGGAUUUUGUUUUAGGAAUAACAAUAAAUUUAAAUAAUUAUGAUUGUACAAAUUUCAUUUCUUUUUAAUUUCCA
Molecule: long non-coding RNA, 968 nt
Organism: Apis mellifera (honey bee)
Lineage: Eukaryota; Metazoa; Arthropoda; Insecta; Hymenoptera; Apidae
Exons: 3
Source: RefSeq, a predicted model, not a curated record